ACUUUCAGCAACGGAUCUCUUGGUUCUCGCAUCGAUGAAGAACGCAGCGAAACGCGAUAUGUAAUGUGAAUUGCAGUUGAUCAUCGAAUCUUUGAACGCACAUUGCGCCUAUUGUAUUUAUACGAAUAGGCAUACCUGUUUGAGUGUUUUUU
Molecule: ribosomal RNA, 152 nt
Filed under: uncultured fungus
Lineage: Eukaryota; Fungi
Description: 5.8S ribosomal RNA
Rfam family: 5.8S ribosomal RNA
About the family: 5.8S ribosomal RNA (5.8S rRNA) is a component of the large subunit of the eukaryotic ribosome.
Source: RNAcentral